RNAcentral lists this ribosomal RNA (310 nucleotides) under uncultured bacterium. RNAcentral's name for it is "partial 16S ribosomal RNA". It matches the Rfam family "Bacterial small subunit ribosomal RNA", at positions 503 to 807 of the family's 1533-position model. The record is from RNAcentral.
AAGAGACAGCAGUAGCCACGGUAAUACGGAGGGGUCUAGCGUUGUUCGGAAUUACUGGGCGUAAAGCGCACGUAGGCGGCUUGGUAAGUUAGAGGUGAAAGCCUGGAGCUCAACUCCAGAAUUGCCUUUAAGACUGCCGAGCUAGCAGGUGAGAGAGGUAAGUGGUAUUCCGAGUGUAGAGGUGAAAUUCGUAGAUAUUCGGAAGAACACCAGUGGCGAAGGCGGCUUACUGGCUCAUACUGGACGCUGAGGUGCGAAAGCGUGGGGAGCAAACAGGAUUAGAUACCCGAGUAGUCCCUGUCUCUUAUAC